RNAcentral lists this ribosomal RNA (462 nucleotides) under uncultured Fusobacteriales bacterium. RNAcentral describes it as "bacterial SSU rRNA". It matches the Rfam family "Bacterial small subunit ribosomal RNA", at positions 923 to 1382 of the family's 1533-position model. Lineage: Bacteria; Fusobacteriati; Fusobacteriota; Fusobacteriia; Fusobacteriales. The record is from RNAcentral.
GCACAAGCGGUGGAGCAUGUGGUUUAAUUCGACGCAACGCGAGGAACCUUACCAGUUCUUGACAUCCUACAAACUUAGCAGAGAUGCUUUGGUGCCUUUCGGGGAAUGUAGUGACAGGUGGUGCAUGGGCUGUCGUCAGCUCGUGUCGUGAGAUGUUGGGUUAAGUCCCGCAACGAGCGCAACCCCUAUCGUUAGUUACCAUCAUUAAGUUGGGGACUCUAGCGAGACUGCCUGCGAUGAGCAGGAGGAAGGUGGGGAUGACGUCAAGUCAUCAUGCCCCUUAUGAACUGGGCUACACACGUGCUACAAUGGGGAGUACAAAGAGUCGCAAGCCGGUGACGGUAAGCUAAUCUCAAAAAGCUCCUCUCAGUUCGGAUUGUAGUCUGCAACUCGACUACAUGAAGUUGGAAUCGCUAGUAAUCGCAAAUCAGCAACGUUGCGGUGAAUACGUUCUCGGGUCUU